CUGUCCAGCUGUCCAGGGCGCCCUGGACAGCUGGACAG
This 38-nucleotide unclassified non-coding RNA is filed under the name Canis lupus familiaris (dog). RNAcentral describes it as "RNA Expansion segment ES39 part II from Canis lupus familiaris (PDB 4V5Z, chain BS)". The record is from RNAcentral. Lineage: Eukaryota; Metazoa; Chordata; Mammalia; Carnivora; Canidae.